UGGAUUUGGAAAAGCGGAUAGCCCGACCUGAAUCGGGUCAACUGAUGGAGCUAAAAUCUCAAAAUUCUCAGUCGCAACAGAGCACGCGGAGAAAAAAACCUCACAUUUCAGACCAAGUUAUCUCCGCCAUCCGUUGCCGGUUACAACAUGGUAAUUUUCAACUGUAUCACUAUCUAAUGCUUGUAUUCUUGUGGGAAUAUCUCUCUGACCGAGCGGUAUCAUACUAGAUAAAUCUUGCGAAUCUGGACGUCGAAGGAGUGGUGGCUGGAGAAUAAAGUGAUUCGGAGUGGUGGCUGAUGAAGAAGAAAGGAGAAGAAAAAGGAGAAUAAAUAGGAGAGGAGAAGGCGGCUGAAUAGAAGGGUUGGUGUAGGUUUUCCUUAAAUAAAAGUAUGGGAAGUUGGUAAGUACCGUUUUUUGAUUUAUUCAUGGAAGAAGAUGAAGAGUCAUCAAUAUUCAACCCAAAUCGGCCCGCGACCCAGGCGACCCAAGCGCUCCACCGCGACCCAGGCGACCCAAGCGCGCCCCACCGUCGCUCCACGAAUCUCGCACGACCCCGCCGCAUCGGGGCGAUUAUAGGCUCGCUUUGAGCGCCCCGCGCCCCGAGCGCGCCCCGAGCGCGAUUUUCACAACACUGGUUUUGAAAGACAUUUACUAUUGUAUAUGGUAUCAUGUUAUGGGUGGUUUAUGUGGAUGAAAUUAUAUGCUAAAUUUU
Molecule: long non-coding RNA, 712 nt
Organism: Salvia splendens (bonfire salvia)
Lineage: Eukaryota; Viridiplantae; Streptophyta; Magnoliopsida; Lamiales; Lamiaceae
Exons: 2
Source: RefSeq, a predicted model, not a curated record